GUGCCAGCAGCCGCGGUAAUACGAAGGGUGCAAGCGUUAAUCGGAAUUACUGGGCGUAAAGCGCGCGUGGGUGGUUCGUUAAGUUGGAUGUGAAAGCCCCGGGCUCAACCUGGGAACUGCAUCCAAAAUUGGCGAGCUAGAGUAUGGCAGAGGGUGGUGGAAUUUCCUGUGUAGCGGUGAAAUGCGUAGAUAUAGGAAGGAACACCAGUGGCGAAGGCGACCACCUGGGCUAAUACUGACACUGAGGUGCGAAAGCGUGGGG
Molecule: ribosomal RNA, 262 nt
Filed under: uncultured prokaryote
Description: partial 16S ribosomal RNA
Rfam family: Bacterial small subunit ribosomal RNA
Source: RNAcentral